AAACUAACAAGGAUUCCCCUAGUAACGGCGAGUGAACCGGGAAGAGCUCAAAUUUGAAAUCUGGCGUCCUCAGGGCGUCCGAGUUGUAAUCUAUAGAGGCGUUUUCCGUGCCGGACCGUGUCCAAGUUCCUUGGAACAGGAUAUCAAAGAGGGUGACAAUCCCGUACUUGACACGACGACCGGUGCUCUGUGAUACGUCUUCUACGAGUCGAGUUGUUUGGGAAUGCAGCUCAAAAUGGGUGGUGAGUUCCAUCUAAAGCUAAAUAUUGGCGAGAGACCGAUAGCGAACAAGUACCGUGAGGGAAAGAUGAAAAGCACUUUGGAAAGAGAGUUAAACAGUACGUGAAAUUGUUGAAAGGGAAACGAUUGAAGUCAGUCGUGACCGAGAGGCUCAGCCGGUUCUGCCGGUGUAUUCCCCUCGGUCGGGUCAACAUCAGUUUUGUCCGGUGGAUAAGGGCGGUAGGAAGGUGGCACCCUCGGGUGUGUUAUAGCCUGCCGUCGCAUACAUCGGGUGAGACUGAGGAACGCAGCUCGCCUUUAUGGCCGGGGUUCGCCCACGUCCGAGCUUAGGAUGUUGACA
RNAcentral lists this ribosomal RNA (580 nucleotides) under Papiliotrema laurentii. RNAcentral's name for it is "LSU rRNA". It matches the Rfam family "Eukaryotic large subunit ribosomal RNA", at positions 62 to 631 of the family's 3401-position model. The record is from RNAcentral. Lineage: Eukaryota; Fungi; Basidiomycota; Tremellomycetes; Tremellales; Rhynchogastremaceae.